RNAcentral lists this long non-coding RNA (483 nucleotides) under Bos indicus x Bos taurus (hybrid cattle). RNAcentral describes it as "lncRNA (ENSBIXG00005020623.1)". Lineage: Eukaryota; Metazoa; Chordata; Mammalia; Artiodactyla; Bovidae. The record is from RNAcentral.
CAUGAAUCAGGAACAAGUUCUGUGGUUGAACACUCUAGUCAAUGCUACCUGUGCUGAGAACUGGACUCUACCAGCUCUGCUGAAGCUGGGAACAGAGGUUCACACUCAGCUGGCAACAGGUCUGGGAGCUGAAGGAGGAAUGAUCUUAGACUCGCAGUCAUUCAAAACCUUUACAGAGCUGGGCAGAGAGGAGCAAUGUUAAUAAAAGGUCAUCAACGUGAACGUCUACCAGGGCAGAAGCCAUGUGGUGGACAGUUCAUGAGCAAGCACUUGAUAUGCAAAAAAAGCCCACCCACAAGCUUCCAGAAACCUAUGAAUUUUAACAAAAGAUGUGGGGAUCAUCACUUCCUCUCUUUGGACUUGGGAAUUCAGCAGCCUGAGAAUAACCUGGAAACUGUGUCCAGAGAGAAAGAGAGGAUUCCAAUUGAAGAGACACCACAGGUAAGAUUAUAAGGUGUUUGGGGAUUGGAGGCAUGUUGAAAA